AGAAUUGACGGGACCGCACAAGCGGUGGAUGAUGUGGUUAAUUCGAUGCAACGCGAAAACCUUACCACCUUGACAUGUACGGAAUCCUUUAGAGAUAGAGGAGUGCUCGAAAGAGAGCCGUAACACAGGUGCUGCAUGGCUGUCGUCAGCUCGUGUCGUGAGAUGUUGGGUUAAGUCCCGCAACGAGCGCAACCCUUGUCAUUAGUUGCUACAUUCAGUUGGGCACUCUAAUGAGACUGCCGGUGACAAACCGGAGGAAGGUGGGGAUGACGUCAAGUCCUCAUGGCCCUUAUAGGUGGGGCUACACACGUCAUACAAUGGAUGGUACAAAGGGUCGCCAACCCGCGAGGGGGAGCCAAUCCCAUAAAGCCAUUCGUAGUCCGGAUCGCAGUCUGCAACUCGACUGCGUGAAGUCGGAAUCGCUAGUAAUCGCGGAUCAGCCAUGCCGCGGUGAAUACGUUCCCGGGCCUU
Molecule: ribosomal RNA, 471 nt
Filed under: uncultured Acidovorax sp.
Lineage: Bacteria; Pseudomonadati; Pseudomonadota; Betaproteobacteria; Burkholderiales; Comamonadaceae
Description: bacterial SSU rRNA
Rfam family: Bacterial small subunit ribosomal RNA
Source: RNAcentral